RNAcentral lists this ribosomal RNA (392 nucleotides) under uncultured bacterium. Its description in RNAcentral is "bacterial SSU rRNA". It matches the Rfam family "Bacterial small subunit ribosomal RNA", at positions 505 to 898 of the family's 1533-position model. The record is from RNAcentral.
GUGUCAGCCGCCGCGGUAAUACGUAGGGGGCGAGCGUUACCCGGAUUCACUGGGCGUAAAGGGGGCGUAGGUGGCCGUGUAAGUCCGGUGUGAAAAGCCACGGCUCAACCGUGGACCUGCGCUGGAAACUAUAUGGCUUGAGGACGGUAGAGGGAGACGGAACUGCUGGUGUAGGGGUGAAAUCCGUAGAUAUCAGCAGGAACGCCGGUGGGGAAGCCGGUCUCCUGGGCCGUUCCUGACGCUGAGGCCCGAAAGCUAGGGGAGCAAACCGGAUUAGAUACCCGGGUAGUCCUAGCCGUAAACGAUGCCCACUAGGUGUGGGGGAAUAAUUCCUCUGUGCUGUAGCUAACGCGUUAAGUGGGCCGCCUGGGGAGUAUGCCCGCAAGGGUGAA